CCUACGGGAGGCUUCAGUAGGGAAUCUUUCACAAUGGGCGAAAGCCUGAUGGAGCAACGCCGCGUGCAGGAUGAAGGCCUUCGGGUUGUAAACUGCUUUUAUAAGCGAGAAAUAUGAUGGUAACUUAUGACUAAUGCUCGGCUCACUACGUGCCAGCAGCCGCGGUCAUACGUAGGAUCCGAGCAUUAUCCGGUGGGACUGGGUGUAAAGAGUUGCGUAGGUGGCAUAAUAAGUAGCAAGUGAAAUCUGGUGGCUCAACCAUUCAGCCUGUUAGCGAAACUGUUAAGCUCGAGACCGUUAGAGGUAACUGGAAUUCCUAGUGUAGGAGUGAAAUCCGUAGAUAUUGGAAAGAACACCAAUAGCGAAGGAAGGUUACUGGGACGGUUCUGACACUAAGGCACGAAAGCGUAGGGAGCAAACGGGAUUAGAUACCCCUGUAGUC
Molecule: ribosomal RNA, 442 nt
Filed under: uncultured bacterium
Lineage: Bacteria
Description: partial 16S ribosomal RNA
Rfam family: Bacterial small subunit ribosomal RNA
Source: RNAcentral